RNAcentral lists this ribosomal RNA (468 nucleotides) under uncultured bacterium. Its description in RNAcentral is "partial 16S ribosomal RNA". It matches the Rfam family "Bacterial small subunit ribosomal RNA", at positions 28 to 507 of the family's 1533-position model. The record is from RNAcentral.
GACGAACGCUGGCGGCGUGCUUAACACAUGCAAGUCGAACGGAAAGGCCCUGCUUUUGUGGGGUGCUCGAGUGGCGAACGGGUGAGUAACACGUGAGUAACCUGCCCUUGACUUUGGGAUAACUUCAGGAAACUGGGGCUAAUACCGGAUAGGAGCUCCUGCUGCAUGGUGGGGGUUGGAAAGUUUCGGCGGUUGGGGAUGGACUCGCGGCUUAUCAGCUUGUUGGUGGGGUAGUGGCUUACCAAGGCUUUGACGGGUAGCCGGCCUGAGAGGGUGACCGGCCACAUGGGGACUGAGAGACGGCCCAGACUCCUACGGGAGGCAGCAGUGGGGAAUAUUGCACAAUGGGUGGAAGCCUGAUGCAGCAACGCCGCGUGCGGGAUGACGGCCUUCGGGUUGUAAACCGCUUUCGCCUGUGACGAAGCGUGAGUGACGGUAAUGGGUAAAGAAGCACCGGCUAACUACGUG